AGGCACGUAGCUCAGCUCGGAUAGAGCGUCUGGCUUCUAACCAGAAGCGCGGGGGUUCGAAUCCCUCCGUGCCCG
Molecule: transfer RNA, 75 nt
Organism: Halarchaeum acidiphilum MH1-52-1
Lineage: Archaea; Methanobacteriati; Methanobacteriota; Halobacteria; Halobacteriales; Halobacteriaceae
Rfam family: tRNA
About the family: Transfer RNA (tRNA) molecules are approximately 80 nucleotides in length. Their secondary structure includes four short double-helical elements and three loops (D, anti-codon, and T loops). Further hydrogen bonds mediate the characteristic L-shaped molecular structure. tRNAs have two regions of fundamental functional importance: the anti-codon, which is responsible for specific mRNA codon recognition, and the 3' end, to which the tRNAs corresponding amino acid is attached (by aminoacyl-tRNA synthetases). tRNAs cope with the degeneracy of the genetic code in two manners: having more than one tRNA (with a specific anti-codon) for a particular amino acid; and 'wobble' base-pairing, i.e. permitting non-standard base-pairing at the 3rd anti-codon position.
Source: Rfam